GACCCUGUUAUGACGCUGUGCUUUGGCUUGUCCAUUUCAAAUUAGGGGUCAACACUGGCAGUGAAGCGCAAGCUACGCUGUCAGGGUUGUCAAAGAAGCUGGGAACGCCCGAGGCUGGUAACAGAGCAGGGAAAACAGCUCGCCUUUAAUAGUGGAAGGAUAACAAGCCUUUAUAGC
RNAcentral lists this signal recognition particle RNA (177 nucleotides) under uncultured Stichotrichia. RNAcentral describes it as "partial Plant signal recognition particle RNA". The stretch from base 24 to 170 matches the Rfam family "Metazoan signal recognition particle RNA", at positions 102 to 249 of the family's 299-position model. From Rfam's summary of the family: The signal recognition particle (SRP) is a universally conserved ribonucleoprotein. It is involved in the co-translational targeting of proteins to membranes. The record is from RNAcentral. Lineage: Eukaryota; Ciliophora; Spirotrichea.